Molecule: non-coding RNA, 769 nt
Organism: Chiloscyllium plagiosum (whitespotted bambooshark)
Lineage: Eukaryota; Metazoa; Chordata; Chondrichthyes; Orectolobiformes; Hemiscylliidae
Source: RefSeq, a predicted model, not a curated record
AACCUACACCCUGAACUGUGGGGAUUCUUGAUAGGCUCCUCACAAACUGAAAGCCCAAAAUUAGGAAACCACAGCGUGUCAAACCCCCACUUUACCUUCAGACUUGAUCAUUAUCGGGGAUGGAAACUUAUUAAAAGACAAAGCAGUGAGGAAACACCCACUGAACACGUUUAAGAUUUUGUUUUAAACACCCAUUUCACGUACCCCCUGCGCAACUGGGAGGCUGCAGGAGAGCAAGGUUAUUUUGUUUAAAACAGCAGCAAUUUUCAACGAUUAAACUUUAAUCCGCGGUGGAAGGCGUGUCCUAUGACUGAAGGCGGAAAUGAAAGUGAAAGGUUCUUCUGAUCCUUGACGUGGAUCGAAGGCCACCGGUUGCGGAUCUGGGGUGGUUUAAAUCGCAGUUUGUUGAGGGGGUUGCCGGCCCCUCGGGGAUUGUCCAUGUCUCCGAUAUCAAAACUCCUGAUUUGAACAUGGAAAGGUGUGAAUCAGGUUCCAGCAGUUGCUCCUAAACAGAGGAUUAACUGUCGAGAGAUGGUUCACGUUCCAAUCAGUGCAGAAAAGCUGAACAUACCGGCUGCAAUCCCACUUGGAACAAUACUGCUUGGUAGUCACUUGGGAUGGAUAUCAAGUUAUUGUGAAGAAGGUACAAAGUUUUAUUCAGAUACUCAGUUUGGAAGCACAUUGGACAGGCUAUUUGCUGGAUCUAUCCUUAGACAAUUGUAUUUGCAUAUUUAUGUUGAAUAAAAGUAAUUAUCAUUUUUUCUUUCCA